This 363-nucleotide unclassified non-coding RNA is filed under the name uncultured Helotiales. Its description in RNAcentral is "sequence contains ITS2". The stretch from base 1 to 154 matches the Rfam family "5.8S ribosomal RNA". Lineage: Eukaryota; Fungi; Ascomycota; Leotiomycetes; Helotiales. The record is from RNAcentral.
AACUUUUGGCAAUGGAUCUCUUGGUUCUGGCAUCGAUGAAGAACGCAGCGAAAUGCGAUAAGUAAUGAGAAUUGCAGAAUUCAGUGAAUCAUCGAAUCUUUGAACGCACAUUGCGCCCCUUGGCAUUCCGAGGGGCAUGCCUGUUCGAGCGUCAUUUAAACCAAUCCAGCGUGCUGGGUCUUGGGCUUUCGCCUCUGGGCGGGCCUCAAAGUCAGUGGCGGUGCUGCCAGGCUCUAAGCGUAGUAAUUCUUCUCGCUACAGGGUCCUGGUGGAGGCUUGCCAACAACCCCAAAUAUUUCAAAGGUUGACCUCGGAUCAUGUAGGGAUACCCGCUGAACUUAAGCAUAUCAAUAAGCGGAGGCU